Molecule: ribosomal RNA, 554 nt
Filed under: uncultured bacterium
Lineage: Bacteria
Description: partial 16S ribosomal RNA
Rfam family: Bacterial small subunit ribosomal RNA
Source: RNAcentral
UGGGGAAUUUUGGACAAUGGGGGAAACCCUGAUCCAGCCAUCCCGCGUGUGCGAUGAAGGCCUUCGGGUUGUAAAGCACUUUUGGCAGGAAAGAAACGUCGCGGGUUAAUACCCCGCGAAACUGACGGUGCCUGCAGAAUAAGCACCGGCUAACUACGUGCCAGCAGCCGCGGUAAUACGUAGGGUGCAAGCGUUAAUCGGAAUUACUGGGCGUAAAGCGUGCGCAGGCGGUUCGGAAAGAAAGAUGUGAAAUCCCAGAGCUUAACUUUGGAACUGCAUUUUUAACUACCGGGCUAGAGUGUGUCAGAGGGAGGUGGAAUUCCGCGUGUAGCAGUGAAAUGCGUAGAUAUGCGGAGGAACACCGAUGGCGAAGGCAGCCUCCUGGGAUAACACUGACGCUCAUGCACGAAAGCGUGGGGAGCAAACAGGAUUAGAUACCCUGGUAGUCCACGCCCUAAACGAUGUCAACUAGCUGUUGGGGCCUUCGGGCCUUGGUAGCGCAGCUAACGCGUGAAGUUGACCGCCUGGGGGAGUACGGUCGCAAGAUUAAAACU